RNAcentral lists this ribosomal RNA (468 nucleotides) under uncultured bacterium. Its description in RNAcentral is "partial 16S ribosomal RNA". It matches the Rfam family "Bacterial small subunit ribosomal RNA", at positions 28 to 507 of the family's 1533-position model. The record is from RNAcentral.
GACGAACGCUGGCGGCGUGCUUAACACAUGCAAGUCGAACGGAAAGGCCCUGCUUUUGUUGGUUGCUCGAUUGGCGAGCGGGUGAGUAUCACGUGAGUAACCUCCCCUUGACUUUGGGAUAACUUCAGGAAACUGGGGCUAAUAUCCGAUAGGAGCUCCUGCUGCGUGUUGGGGGUUGGAAAGUGUCGGCGGUGGGGGAUGGACUCGCGGGUUAUGAGCUUGUUGGUGGAGUAGUUGCGCACCAAGGGUUUGACGGGUAGCCGGCAUGAGAGGGUGAACGGCCACAUGGGGACUGAGAGACGGAGCAGAAGCCAACGGGCGGCAGCAGGGGGGAAUAUUACGGAACGAGCGGGAGCGUGAUGCAACAGCGCCGGGUGCGGGAUGACGGCCUUCGGGUUAUAAACAGCUUUCGCAGGUGACGAAGCGGGCGUGACGGUAAUGGGUAAAGAAGCACCGGCUAACUACGUG